This 1047-nucleotide ribosomal RNA is filed under the name uncultured crenarchaeote. RNAcentral describes it as "partial 16S ribosomal RNA". It matches the Rfam family "Archaeal small subunit ribosomal RNA", at positions 314 to 1362 of the family's 1478-position model. Lineage: Archaea; Thermoproteati; Thermoproteota. The record is from RNAcentral.
CGCGGGAUUGGACGGGGUGCAGCAGGCGCGAAACCUCCUCAAUGCACUAACGUGCGAAGGGGUUACCUCGAGUGCCACCUGAAGAAGGUGGCUUUUCCUUGGUCUAAAAAGCCUCGGGAAUAAGAGGGGGGCAAGACUGGUGUCAGCCGCCGCGGUAACACCAGCCCCUCGAGUGGUGGGGAUGAUUAUUUGGCCUAAAGCGUCCGUAGCCGGCCGGGUAAGUCUCCCGUUAAAUCCAACGUCUCAAGCGUUGGACUGCGGGAGAUACUGCCUGGCUAGAGAGUGGGAGAGGUCAGCGGUAUUCUGGGGGUAGGGGCGAAAUCCUUUGAUCCCCGGAGGACCACCAGUGGCGAAGGCUGCUGACUAGAACACGUCUGACGGUCAGGGACGAAAGCUGGGGUAGCGAACCGGAUUAGAUACCCGGGUAGUCCCAGCCGUAAACGAUGCAUGCUAGGUGUUGGGUUGGCCACGAGCCACCCCAGUGCCGCAGGGAAGCCCGUUAAGCAUGCCGCCUGGGAAGUACGAUCGCAAGAUUGAAACUUAAAGGGAUGGGCGGGGGAGCACCACCAGGCGUGAAGCCUGCGGUUUAAUUGGAGUCAACGCCGGGAACCUUACCGGAAGCGACAGCAGAGUGAAGGCCAGAUUGAAGAUCUUGCCAGACGAGCUGAGAGGAGGUGCAUGGCCGUCGCCAGUUCGCGCCGUGAGGUGUUCUCUUAAGUGAGAUAACGAACGAGACCCGCGCCACAUGUUGCCAUCAGAAUCUAAAGGAUUGCUGGGCACUCUUGUGGGACCGCAGCCGAUAAGGCUGAGGAAGGGGCGGGCAACGGCAGGUCAGUAUGCCCCGAAUCUUCCGGGCCACACGCGGGCUGCAAUGGUAUGGACAGAGGGCUGCCACCCCGAGAGGGGGAGCCAAUCCCUAAACCAUACCUCAGUUGGGAUUGAGGGCUGCAACCCGCCCUCAUGAACAUGGAAUGCCUAGUAACUGCCAGUCAUCAUCUGGCGGUGAAUACGUCCCUGCUCCUUGCACGAAUUCGCCGAAUCACUAGU